This 465-nucleotide ribosomal RNA is filed under the name uncultured bacterium. Its description in RNAcentral is "partial 16S ribosomal RNA". It matches the Rfam family "Bacterial small subunit ribosomal RNA", at positions 338 to 795 of the family's 1533-position model. The record is from RNAcentral.
CCUACGGGAGGCAGCAGUGGGGAAUAUUGCGCAAUGGGCGAAAGCCUGACGCAGCGACGCCGCGUGAGGGAUGAAGGUCUUCGGAUCGUUAACCUCUGUCAGCAGGGAAGAACGGUCACUGUGCUAAUCAGCAGUGAAUUGACGGUACCUGCAAAGGAAGCACCGGCUAACUCCGUGCCAGCAGCCGCGGUAAUACGGAGGGUGCGAGCGUUAAUCGGAUUUACUGGGCGUAAAGCGCUCGUAGGCGGUAUGUCAAGUCAAGGGUGAAAUCCCCGCGCUCAACGUGGGAACUGCCUUUGAAACUGGCAAACUGGAGUGUGUGAGAGGAUAGUGGAAGUCCAGGUGUAGGAGUGAAAUCCGUAGAUAUCGGGAGGAACAUCAGUGGCGAAGGCGACUAUCUGGCACAUAACUGACGCUGAGGAGCGAAAGCGUGGGUAGCAAACAGGAUUAGAUACCCGUGUAGUC